This 444-nucleotide ribosomal RNA is filed under the name uncultured Lachnospiraceae bacterium. RNAcentral describes it as "bacterial SSU rRNA". It matches the Rfam family "Bacterial small subunit ribosomal RNA", at positions 62 to 507 of the family's 1533-position model. Lineage: Bacteria; Bacillati; Bacillota; Clostridia; Lachnospirales; Lachnospiraceae. The record is from RNAcentral.
UUGACCCUAGCUUUGCGUAGAGAUUGAAACGAAUUGAGGUGACUGAGUGGCGGACGGGUGGAGUAACGCGUGGGUAACCGUAGCCUUGUACAGGGGAGUAACAGUUGGAAACGACUAGCUAAUACCGCAUAAGCGCACAGUAUCGCAUGAUACAGUGUGAAAACUACCGGUGGUACAAGAUGGACCCGCGUCUGAUUAGCUAGUUGAGGGGUAACGGCCCACCAAGGCAACGAUCAGUAGCCGACUUGUAGAGAGUGAUCGGCCACAUUGGGACUGAGACACGGCCCAAACUCCUACGGGAGGCAGCAGUAGGGAAUAUUGCACAAUGGGGGAAACCCUGAUGCAGCGACGCCGCGUGAAGGAUGAAGUAUUUCGGUAUGUAAACUUCUAUCAGCAAGGAAGAAAAUGACGGUACUUGACUAAGAAGCCCCGGCUAAAUACGUG